CUUCGGGGGUAGAGCACUGUUUCGGCUAGGGGGUCAUCCCGACUUACCAACCCGAUGCAAACUACGAAUACCGAAGAAUGUUAUCACGGGAGACACACGGCGGGGGCUAACGUCCGUCGUGAAGAGGGAAACAACCCAGACCGCCAGCUAAGGUCCCAAAGUCAUGGUUAAGUGGGAAACGAUGUGGGAAGGCACAGACAGCCAGGAUGUUGGCUUAGAAGCAGCCAUCAUUUAAAGAAAGCGUAAUAGCUCACUGGUCGAGUCGGCCUGCGCGGAAGAUGUAACGGGGCUAAACCAUGCACCGAAGCUGCGGCAGCGACACUAUGUGUUGUUGGGUAGGGGAGCGUUCUGUAAGCCUGCGAAGGUGUGCUGUGAGGCAUGCUGGAGGUAUCAGAAGUGCG
Molecule: ribosomal RNA, 401 nt
Filed under: Klebsiella pneumoniae
Lineage: Bacteria; Pseudomonadati; Pseudomonadota; Gammaproteobacteria; Enterobacterales; Enterobacteriaceae
Description: partial 23S ribosomal RNA
Rfam family: Bacterial large subunit ribosomal RNA
Source: RNAcentral